This 445-nucleotide ribosomal RNA is filed under the name uncultured bacterium. Its description in RNAcentral is "partial 16S ribosomal RNA". It matches the Rfam family "Bacterial small subunit ribosomal RNA", at positions 354 to 796 of the family's 1533-position model. The record is from RNAcentral.
GUGAGGAAUAUUGGACAAUGGGCGCAAGCCUGAUCCAGCCAUGCCGCGUGCAGGAAGACGCAUCUAUGGUGUGUAAACUGCUUUUGUACGGGAAGAAACACUCCCUCGUGAGGGAGCUUGACGGUACCGUAAGAAUAAGGAUCAGCUAACUCCGUGCCAGCAGCCGCGGUAAUACGGAGGAUCCAAGCGUUAUCCGGAAUCAUUGGGUUUAAAGGGUCCGUAGGCGGGUUAAUAAGUCAGUGGUGAAAGCCCAUCGCUCAACGAUGGAACGGCCAUUGAUACUGUUAGACUUGAAUUACAAGGAAGUAACUAGAAUAUGUAGUGUAGCGGUGAAAUGCUUAGAUAUUACAUGGAAUACCAAUUGCGAAGGCAGGUUACUACUUGUGGAUUGACGCUGAUGGACGAAAGCGUGGGGAGCGAACAGGAUUAGAAACCCGUGUAGUCC